This 764-nucleotide long non-coding RNA is filed under the name Equus caballus (horse). RNAcentral's name for it is "lncRNA (ENSECAG00000042876.2)". Lineage: Eukaryota; Metazoa; Chordata; Mammalia; Perissodactyla; Equidae. The record is from RNAcentral.
AAUUUCCGUGGAAGUCCUAAAUUUCCAUGGAAGUAAUCAUGUUGACGUUUUAAAAGUAAUUGGAAUGAACUUCUAGAAAACGCUUUUUACCUCUUACCAUGUAUGUGGAGGGAAGUUAGGAGACACUGGGACCUCCCAACCUGCUUUAAGCAUAUUUCCCCAGCACAUAUGCUAUUCCUUUUGUAUUAACUGGGCACCUUUGGAAGUGGAAGUUCCUAAAGUGCUAGAAGGUUCUCCCCUCAUCAGAGAACACUGGGCUUGAUUUGCUCUGAUUCAAUAAUGACUGAGCAGCAUCCCUUGAUGACACAGAGGAGAGACACAAACCCUAACCCAAAAGGCAGAAAACGUCACAAACAACUGAUGCAAGACGGAAUGUUAACGCUACCUGAACGUGCAAAGGGAGGAUUCAGAAAAGGAACUGUGAGCUCCUUGCAUCAGGGUCCAGGAGUUGCUCAUCUGCAUACCCUCGGCAUACAAAGCUCCCCAUGGGAUGGAGAAGGCAGAUGUUCGCACAGAUCAGGAAGAACACAAUGUGUGAUCGUUAGGACAGACCACUUGCUGUAGGCAGGAGUUUUGAUUGGAAGGUGAAUCCGAAGACCUCCCAGGGACCAAGAUGGUUUUAAGAGGAUCAACUUCAGAUGUUCCAGUUCCACACUGACUGAAAAAUGGCUGUGACAGUGUAGAGCCAUCGCUUUCCUCAACUCCUCAUUCACUUUGAUGAGUUUCACCUUGGGGUGUUAUGCAGGGGCGUAAAAGUCUUUAGG